This is a long non-coding RNA of Acanthochromis polyacanthus (spiny chromis), 3490 nucleotides long. RefSeq lists it as uncharacterized. The record is from RefSeq and is a predicted model, not a curated record. The transcript is spliced from 3 exons. NCBI's taxonomy places the organism in Eukaryota, Metazoa, Chordata, Actinopteri, Pomacentridae.
UUCACCCACAACCCAGCUGGUCGAGUCAGAUGCCUGCCUUCCCUGAGCCUGGCUCUGCCGGUGCUGUCUUCUGGUUAUAAGGGACUUCUUCCUCUCUACUACUGCAAAUAUGCUGCUGAAUCCUUGGAUUUGUUGGGUUUCCCAUUUAUUAUUUUGCAGGGUCUUCACUUUAUUUAUUAAAUGAGUCUGGUGAAUGUCCAUAAUUAGUAUUACUGUGGUCUUAGCCUUGAUGUUUAAUCUGAUCAAUUUGUAUUUUAUGUAAUCUUGUAGGGUUUUAGCUGUAAUAUUUUGAUUGCUCAGGUAAAAUCACAUCUUAAGUCCCUGUAGGAACCUUCAUAUUAAAACUUGGUAUGUUCACAAUGCCAAUACUGGAAAGCACUUCACUUCAAUGGCUGUUGCUUUAAAUGUGCUGUAUAAAUACCAGUGACCUAACUUGGACAAAAGCGGUAGUAAAGAUUACAUUUCAGUUUCCCAUGUAUUAUGUACAUCUAACGAAAAAAUGUAGUCUCAUACAACAGUCCUGCACUAAAUCCUACAUUUUUAAAUGAUUUGAUAUGCAGUGUUUGUUAGAAGUGCUUUAGAAGGGGAGUUGUUCAAAUUAUUUGUGAUUUUUGGAGCCAUAAUGUGCAUUGACUGAGCUGUGUUUGACUACAAUAAUAGGUGUUUUUAGCAAGUUGCCUUCCCUCUUUAGUAUAAACACGGUGGGCAAGACAUUAGAAACAUUUCUCUGUACAGCUCAAUGCAAUUCAGCAGCACCAUAAACUACACCCUCCAAAAUUAAAUCAUCAGCUCUCUAAACCUGCUUCAAUAAAAAAUAGAUAUCACCUUCAGGAAGGGUAGCAUUUAUUGCAGGACUGUCAUUUCAGAGGGAAACCAUGUAGGCAAGGUGCACCGACUGAACAGGCAACUGAGAGUACAUCCUGUGAAUUAAAAAUGAGUGCCUUCUUUUGGACCUACAUAUAAACUCAUAUUUAGACAUCAAACUUAUUCAAGAUUUUCCUGUGACUGUGACAUCUUUGAUUGUCAAUUUAUUGUGGAUUCAGUCUCCCGUCUUAUUUUUAUGUGUCGUUUAACUAUUUCAGCUUCGAUAGGAGUAGACAUGGGGUCAGUAAAAUUGUCAAAAAAGAAUUGCAAUAACUUAAAAAAGGAUCCUUGCAGUUCAGCCAUAUUUUUGCAGAUUUAAAGUUCGUUUAAGUCCAAAAUUUAAGCCAGGAUUUGCAAUAUAUUAAGCAUUGACAGCUGGUAAAGCAUCAACAGCUUUAUGAAAGAUGCAGCGCCAUAGUGUUAUGUCCCACUGCAUAAAACUAUUUAUCCUCUUUUUCACUACGAACGCCAACCACGGAAAUCCUGGGUAAACUUUAGAUAAUGGCACACUUGCUGUCAACUAAGCACAGCUCAGCCUGCUCAUUACGACAUGUUAUGUUGCUCUGCGAUGCAAACCUGAAUUCUCAAAGGUUUUCGUUGCGUUCAGCCGUUUGAAUGAGCAUGGCUGAGCAAGUGCUUACUUUUUCCUCUCCAAAACACCGCGUCGUAUUAAUAACUACAAUGUGUCACUUUGUUGGGCACAAAGAAAGAAAUGCAUGUGGGUAAGUGCGAGGAAUAUUUCAGAGACUGCUUACGUCACAUCUAUGAUGUAUUUUCUUUUCAUAUUUCUCUAUAGAACUGGCUUCUUGAGUGUGUGCCAGAUUAUGUGGCAGAUAUUAGAGGUGGCAAGGGAGGGAGAACAAUAGAAAGAAGCAGCAAGAAGCAGAUGAAAAGAAGGAAGAAGCUAGAGAGAGCGGGAAACAUGGGUGGUUGUUGCUAGGUAAUAAUGGCAUGCUAAAAGAUGAAAAUGAGCAAAAGAGGAGAUAAAUCCAGGCUGCGGUUGUAUUGUGUGAAUAGCGGCCAAGAAAUAAGAAGAGGAAGGCGAGCUGGAAGCAGAGGAGUCUGAGGCUACAGUGUCUUCCACCAGUAGCCCUUGUACAAGUCAAUCACCAGAGAAGCCAAUAAUCAAAUACAGCGGUGUGUGUGUGUGUUUGAAAUGUGGUACAGAGGGGUUGGCAGGGCUCUGAGAUACUCUCAAGGAGAGAGUGAGUGAGUGGGGCGAUUCAGGGGCACGCCUGACGCAAGAAGAGGGGCUGGAGGGGGGCUGAGCUCUCAGAUGGGCUCAGCAGGGAGUGUGUGAGCGGCGGGAGAGCUGAGGACUCUGAAGCACGACUCCAGGGAGCCUCAAAGAUGAUCACAGCAGAGUUAGCCAAGGCCGCCUUGCCGCAGUCAAACACAAGCAAAUGGUGGAUCCGGAGAAGGGAGGGAAAAGCUAAUUGAAAGCCAAACACUCCACAGCCCUUCUGGGUUCGUGCAUGGACCUUUCUUGUAUAUGGAGCGUGCCAAGUGCUCUGUAUUUAUGGGGAAAAAUCUGAUUCUACAAAUGACACGGAGUCCCCUCCAAUGGCGCUGGAGCCUCCUCGUGCAGCACAGCGCGUGGUGCUGAAUGCAAGAGGAACAGCUUGCCGGUUCCCUCAGGAACAGACCUGCCGACUAUCUGCAGCUGUGCUGAGAAUUGUCAUUUUUAAAUAUUCACAUAUUUAAUCAGCUGAAAGGGCUCUCACCAAACACACACACAAACACACACACGCACACCCACAUCAGCCGCAUGUGAGGGAUGUGCUGUAGGGUUUGCUUGCAAGAAAAUAUUUAUAUUGGGAUUAGGCUUUAUGAUUGUGUGGUUUAUGGGAUUCUGGCAACUAUUUGAGGUUUAUUGAUCUUUAUCUGAGAGCAGCAAAUGUGUUUUUAUGCUAUAAAAACGUGCAGUAUGUAUCACACAGACGCAUAUUUGGAAAGAUUCUGUUUGAUUCUGUAUCAGAUUCAUUGUUACACCGGCAAGACAAUCGUGGAUCUAUUCCUCUAUAGCGGUGCUCCUCUGUUAGCAUUGAAUGACUCUACCAUGUGCAUAAAUCAUUAGCAGGAUCAUUUAAAUCCGAAAUACCAAUACCGUUGUCCCUCAAGUUGCUAAUCUGUGUCUGCAAGGUUUAUUUUUAUUUUUUCUUGCAGGUUCAUGAAUAAUGCUGCCCGUGAGUUGAUGCACAACCGAGAUAACAAAUGUCAGAAUUUCAUGUAAUUAAAAGCUAAAUCUUGCAAACAGGGGUUGACAGGAGUCUGAUUUAAACAGCACACACUGUGUUCAGCAAAUGAAAAUAUUUGCUGAAUUGAAUAGUAUGAAUUACGACAAUAUCAAGUGGAAAUUAAUACCAAAUCCAUUUUCAUUGUUUUUAAGGCAGGUGCUAAAUAGAAGCUGUUGUUUGACUAAAAAUAUGAAAUGAAUUCUGUUUAUUUAUGCCCGUGAGGAUAAACUUCAUGCCAACAUUGUGAAUUUGCCCAAUGUUCACGAUACUGCAGCAAGAUUUUGAGGCGGCAUCAAUUAGUUGUGUGCAUUGCUUUGACCUGUCACUGGGAUGUUUGAGCACCUUUUAUCAGUGUGCACCGUGUGGAAUAUGAGUGCCAUCAUCUUUAA